This 520-nucleotide ribosomal RNA is filed under the name uncultured Glomus. RNAcentral's name for it is "SSU rRNA". It matches the Rfam family "Eukaryotic small subunit ribosomal RNA", at positions 569 to 1087 of the family's 1831-position model. The record is from RNAcentral. Lineage: Eukaryota; Fungi; Glomeromycota; Glomeromycetes; Glomerales; Glomeraceae.
AGCAGCCGCGGUAAUUCCAGCUCCAAUAGCGUAUAUUAAAGUUGUUGCAGUUAAAAAGCUCGUAGUUGAAUUUCGGGAUUAGUACGCUGGUCGUGCCUUCGGUAUGUACUGGUGUUACUGAUUCCUACCUUCUGACGAAUCGUCAUGUCAUUAAUUUGGUGUGGCGGGGAAUCAGGACUGUUACUUUGAAAAAAUUAGAGUGUUUAAAGCAGGCUCGCGCUUGAAUACAUUAGCAUGGAAUAAUGAAAUAGGACGUUUGAUCCUAUUUUGUUGGUUUCUAGGAUUGACGUAAUGAUUAAUAGGGAUAGUUGGGGGCAUUAGUAUUCAAUUGUCAGAGGUGAAAUUCUUGGAUUUAUUGAAGACUAACUACUGCGAAAGCAUUUGCCAAGGAUGUUUUCAUUAAUCAAGAACGAAAGUUAGGGGAUCGAAGACGAUCAGAUACCGUCGUAGUCUUAACCAUAAACUAUGCCGACUAGGGAUCGGAUGAUGUUAAUUUUUUAAUGUACUCAUUCGGCGUACC